UACAGAGGUCCCAAGCGUUGUUCGGAUUCAUUGGGCGUAAAGGGUGCGUAGGUGGCGCUGUAAGUCGGGUGUGAAAUUUCGGAGCUUAACUCCGAAACUGCAUUCGAUACUGCGGUGCUCGAGGACUGGAGAGGAGACUGGAAUUCAUGGUGUAGCAGUGAAAUGCGUAGAGAUCAUGAGGAAGACCAGUGGCGAAGGCGGCCCUCUGGUCCAGUACUGACACUCAAGUGCGAAAGCGUGGGGAGCAAACAGG
Molecule: ribosomal RNA, 253 nt
Filed under: uncultured bacterium
Lineage: Bacteria
Description: partial 16S ribosomal RNA
Rfam family: Bacterial small subunit ribosomal RNA
Source: RNAcentral